RNAcentral lists this ribosomal RNA (852 nucleotides) under uncultured marine microorganism. Its description in RNAcentral is "bacterial SSU rRNA". It matches the Rfam family "Bacterial small subunit ribosomal RNA", at positions 652 to 1501 of the family's 1533-position model. The record is from RNAcentral.
UAGGGGUAGCAGGAAUUCCCAGUGUAGCGGUGAAAUGCGUAGAUAUUGGGAAGAACAUCGGUGGCGAAGGCGUGCUACUGGACCGUAACUGACACUCAGGGACGAAAGCUAGGGGAGCGAAAGGGAUUAGAUACCCCUGUAGUCCUAGCUGUAAACGAUGGAAACUAGGUGUGGCUUGUAUCGACCCGAGCCGUGCCGUAGCUAACGCGUUAAGUUUCCCGCCUGGGGAGUACGCACGCAAGUGUGAAACUCAAAGGAACUGACGGGGGCCCGCACAAGCGGUGGAGUAUGUGGUUUAAUUCGAUGCAACGCGAAGAACCUUACCAGGGCUUGACAUGUCGCGAAUCUCGGUGAAAGCUGAGAGUGCCUUCGGGAGCGCGAACACAGGUGGUGCAUGGCUGUCGUCAGCUCGUGUCGUGAGAUGUUGGGUUAAGUCCCGCAACGAGCGCAACCCUUAUUUUUAGUUGCCAGCAUUAAGAUGGGCACUCUAGAAAGACUGCCGGUGACAAACCGGAGGAAGGUGAGGACGACGUCAAGUCAGCAUGCCCCUUACGCCCUGGGCUACACACGUACUACAAUGGUUGGGACAAAGGGCAGCGACUCCGCAAGGAAUAGCGAAUCUCAUCAAACCCAGCCUCAGUUCAGAUUGCAGGCUGCAACUCGCCUGCAUGAAGGAGGAAUCGCUAGUAAUCGCAGGUCAGCAUACUGCGGUGAAUUCGUUCCCGGGCCUUGUACACACCGCCCGUCACACCAUGGAAGCUGGUCACGCCCGAAGUAGUUACCCUAACCUUUCGAGGAGGGGGAUUCCUAAGGCAGGGCUAGUGACUGGGGUGAAGUCGUAACAAGGUAACC